This 324-nucleotide small nuclear RNA is filed under the name Tursiops truncatus (common bottlenose dolphin). RNAcentral describes it as "7SK RNA (ENSTTRG00000022882.1)". It matches the Rfam family "7SK RNA". From Rfam's summary of the family: 7SK was discovered as an abundant small nuclear RNA in the mid-70s but a possible function has only recently been suggested. The record is from RNAcentral. Lineage: Eukaryota; Metazoa; Chordata; Mammalia; Artiodactyla; Delphinidae.
GGAUGUGAGGGCGAUCUGGCUGCGACAUCUGUCACCCCAUUGAUCACCAGGAUUGAUUCAGGUGAUCUGGCUGGCUAGGCGGGUGUCCCCUUCCUCCCUCACUACUCCAUGUGUGUCCCUCCCGAAGCUGCGCGCUCCGUCAAAGAGGACGACCUUCCCCGAUAGAGGACUGUUCUUCGGUCAAGGGUAUACCAGUAGUUGCGCUCCCCUGCUAGAACCUCGAAACAAGCUCUCAAGGUCCAUUUGUAGAAGAACGUAGGGUAGUCAAGCUUCCAAGACUCCAGACACAUCCAAAUGAGGCGCUGCAGGUGGCAGUCUGCCUUU